UCUAUGCUAUAGUAAAGAAGUUAUUUUUGUUCGGGCUGUUUCAAUUACGAAUGAGUAUUUAAACUUUUCGCCUUUGAUAUCAUUUGAGCAACUAUAGUAAUAAAUGGUGGCAACGUCCACAUAAGGAGAUUACACACAUGCAACAAGGUACAGUAAAAUGGUUUAACGCAGACAAAGGUUUCGGUUUCAUCGAAGUUGAAGGUGGAGACGAUGUAUUCGUACAUUUCUCAGCUAUCCAAGGCGAAGGAUUUAAGUCAUUAGAUGAAGGCCAAAACGUUACAUUCGACGUUGAGCAAGGUCAACGUGGACCUCAAGCUGUCAACGUUAACAAAGCAUAAAUAAGAGAAAGGGCUCUAGUAAGGGCCCUUUUUUUG
RNAcentral lists this small RNA (374 nucleotides) under Halalkalibacter okhensis. RNAcentral describes it as "Bacillus okhensis cspA thermoregulator". It matches the Rfam family "cspA thermoregulator". The record is from Rfam by way of RNAcentral. Lineage: Bacteria; Bacillati; Bacillota; Bacilli; Caryophanales; Bacillaceae.